CUACCUGCUAGUAACGUUGGACACAGCGUUCUCGAGCGAGAGAGAAAAAAGCGUUAAUGUGGAACGCUAUCCCACUUUCCUUUCUCCCCUCAUUGGACUAAGUUUGUCGACACUACUGUGUGCGUGCAUCAAUAAGUAAGUCUGAUGACAAUGUUAUACA
This is a long non-coding RNA of Sander lucioperca (pikeperch), 160 nucleotides long. RefSeq lists it as uncharacterized. The transcript has 3 exons. The record is from RefSeq and is a predicted model, not a curated record. NCBI's taxonomy places the organism in Eukaryota, Metazoa, Chordata, Actinopteri, Perciformes, Percidae.